AACGCCGUUGACCUUGCCAUGGGUACCUACAAAGAGAGAACGAAAAGGACAGAGAGCGAAAACAGUGGAAACAGCAGAAGCAACAAGAAAAAAUAUAAAAAAAUAAUUAAUAUGUAAUAUAUGCCUAUAAAAGCCAUAACCAUGUAUUGUAAUUUUUAACGAUGAUACAAGAAACGAUGCCGCUAACUCAGAGUCUCCUUUUGAGCAGGAUAUGUGUCCCGAGGAAUCUUAGGACUUUAAAGGUGAUCGAGAUUAUAACCUAUCUCCUGAUUUGUUAAGGAUGGUAGAACAAAAUGAGAAACAGAUCCUACCUCACAGGACUUUGAGUGUGAG
This 333-nucleotide long non-coding RNA is filed under the name Gossypium raimondii (Peruvian cotton). Its description in RNAcentral is "long non-coding RNA (GRAI_LNC008740)". The record is from RNAcentral. Lineage: Eukaryota; Viridiplantae; Streptophyta; Magnoliopsida; Malvales; Malvaceae.